AUGAAGGAUGCGAGAGAGAUCCCGCCGUGGCGGGACGCCGAAGGGGCAACGCGCCCACGUGACGCUGAAACUCUCAGGCAAAGAGAAUCGCAUCCGGACG
Molecule: non-coding RNA, 100 nt
Filed under: Fretibacterium fastidiosum
Lineage: Bacteria; Thermotogati; Synergistota; Synergistia; Synergistales; Aminobacteriaceae
Also listed under: 1 other name
Description: Synergistetes bacterium SGP1 Glycine riboswitch aptamer
Rfam family: Glycine riboswitch aptamer
About the family: This family represents the bacterial glycine riboswitch.
Source: Rfam by way of RNAcentral